CUCACGUCCUCUCGCCCGUCAGGAUUUUGUUUCCAUUAACCAUUUCAGUCAUGGGAGAUUUGGUUUAUGUGGCUCUCCAUCGAUGGAAUGCCGAUGAAUGCACAUAUGAACAUACAUACAUAGUUCUGUUUUGCUUUAGAAUUCAGUGUCAGAAAACUCUAUGGAGGUUGCUGAUUUGGAGCUCAGCUAGGGAUGCUCUAAAUUUCAUGGUUGUUGCUUGAUGUGGAAUAUGCAACUGGAACCGGCAACCAGCCCUUCCUCGCCCUCAGCCUC
Long non-coding RNA from Triticum aestivum (bread wheat), 273 nucleotides. RefSeq lists it as uncharacterized. NCBI's taxonomy places the organism in Eukaryota, Viridiplantae, Streptophyta, Magnoliopsida, Poales, Poaceae. The record is from RefSeq and is a predicted model, not a curated record. The transcript is spliced from 3 exons.